Molecule: ribosomal RNA, 497 nt
Filed under: uncultured bacterium
Lineage: Bacteria
Description: partial 16S ribosomal RNA
Rfam family: Bacterial small subunit ribosomal RNA
Source: RNAcentral
GAUGAACGCUGGCGGCGUGCCUAAUACAUGCAAGUCGAGCGAACAGACGAGGAGCUUGCUCCUCUAACGUUAGCGGCGGACGGGUGAGUAACACGUGGAUAACCUACCUAUAAGACUGGGAUAACUUCGGGAAACCGGAGCUAAUACCGGAUAAUAUAUUGAACCGCAUGGUUCAAUAGUUAAAGACGGUUUUGCUGUCACUUAUAGAUGGAUCCGCGCCGCAUUAGCUAGUUGGUAAGGUAACAGCUUACCAAGGCAACGAUGCGUAGCCGACCUGAGAGGGUGAUCGGCCACACUGGAACUGAGACACGGUCCAGACUCCUACGGGAGGCAGCAGUAGGGAAUCUUCCGCAAUGGGCGAAAGCCUGACGGAGCAACGCCGCGUGAGUGAUGAAGGUCUUCGGAUCGUAAAACUCUGUUAUUAGGGAAGAACAAAUGUGUAAGUAACUAUGCACGUCUUGACGGUACCUAAUCAGAAAGCCACGGCUAACUACGUG